RNAcentral lists this ribosomal RNA (240 nucleotides) under Triticum aestivum (bread wheat). RNAcentral describes it as "partial small subunit ribosomal RNA". Lineage: Eukaryota; Viridiplantae; Streptophyta; Magnoliopsida; Poales; Poaceae. The record is from RNAcentral.
AUGGCAAGAAGAUAUUGGAACAUUAAUUUGAAAGAGAUGAUAGAAGCAGGAGUUCAUUUUGGUCAUGGUAUUAAGAAAUGGAAUCCUAAAAUGGCCCCUUACAUUUCGGCAAAGCGCAAAGGUACUCAUAUUAUAAAUCUUGCCAAGUCAGGGAAAAAGUUUCUUAAUUGUUGGUACCAAAAAAAGAGCAACAGAUUUAGUAGCAUCAGCUGCAAUAAGGGCUCGUUGUCAUUAUGUUAA